GUGGGGCCCACCUGUCGGUGGCUCGUGCGGGCGCGCGCGCUACGGGCCGGCUCUGUCCAGUUCGGGCGCGGGCGAAGCUGGGCCGGUUCGGCCCAUUUGGCCGGGACGGUCCGAUUUACUCCUUUUUUUUUCCUUUUACCUUUUCUCCUUUUUCUUUUUAUGUAAUUACCUUCUAACUUUUGAUUUUGAACUCCAAAUUGGUCCAAAUAAAUUCCAGAAAAUUUGUAAAAUCAUAUUAUAAUAUCAUUCAACUUUUGGGACUAAUUUCCCUUCCAAAUAAAAUAUAUAAAAAUACAUUUUCCCUAUAAAUGCCUUUAAGGCUUUAUAGCUAUUUAAAUAAAAUAGUUUUUCAACUCCAAAUAAUUAUCCAAAAAUUAUGGGAUAGCUUAUUUAUGCAAUAAACCCCUUUUGUAGUUUAACCCUAUUGGUUUAAAGAUCCAAAGCUCAAAUGGGUGAAACCCUAGGGUUUAAAAUGAAAUAGAAACCUUUUUAAAACCUUUUUGGAAUUCAAAAUUGAUUCAAAUAUGCAAUUGUGGCAUGAUGCUCAUGAGUGCAAUGCAUAUGAAAGAGUUUGAAAUUUUGGGAUGUUACAC
This 593-nucleotide long non-coding RNA is filed under the name Brachypodium distachyon (stiff brome). Its description in RNAcentral is "long non-coding RNA (BDIS_LNC004511)". The record is from RNAcentral. Lineage: Eukaryota; Viridiplantae; Streptophyta; Magnoliopsida; Poales; Poaceae.